UCUAUAAUUUCUUACUUUUUGGUUUCUCUUUAGUACUUGGGAAAGAUUUUUAGAAAAUGUACCAUGUCUCAAUCAACUAUGCUAAGGGGAAUCACAGAGGGCAAAUAUUCAAGUCUAGUUGAUGUUUUAGAGGAAGAAAAAGUUCUGGAGCCUGGCGGCUCCAUGUGGCAAAAGGGAAAGAAUGUCUCAGGAGGAAGGAAAGGAGAGUGACCAGGUCUUCUCCCCAUCCAGUCUUCUCCUUGAGAAGAUCAGUUUUUGAAACUGUUUGGCACUUCAAUUUCAUCCAGUGAAACACAAAAUAAGAAUGCCAGUAUGCUGCAAGUAUGCUCCUAUCCUCAGACUCUUCUCUCCCGGUCUCCUCUCCAAGACUCCACUUUGGAAGUUUCCAGUCUUUUCUAAGACAUCCAUCCACUCCCAUUUCCAAACUCAGUGUGCGCUUGUGAGGUGUGUACAUGUGCACAUGCAGAUAACAGUGGGGGACCAUGGAGUCUGUCUCCUGCCAGAGCAAUUCAGUAGCAGUUCUGGGUCUUACACAAAGACCAUUUGUGAGAAACAAAUUUUGACAUUUGCCAUCAACUGGGAAGGCAAUAACAGAGCAAACAGUAAUUGAUAGGUAGGAAACAGGGCUGCAAGUUACUGAGAAAAAACAAGUUUAAUAUUAAAGCAGGAUUCGUCUACAGGGCCUUAGAAAAUGCAAAGACCUUCAGAGAUUUAAUCCCAUCAAGACCUCAUGGAAUAGCUUGGGACAGUUAGCACUGCUCUUUCCAGGACUGAGGGGCAGCAAAAUUAUUUGGCUUUUGAGCCCAAGCCUGCAUUUGUGAACUACUGAUCUGUCUUUGAAAACGCUCUUUUCUCUUGAAGCCACCCAUACUCAUUCCUCUUUUAAAAAGCAGUCAUUGGGAAAUAUCACCUAGGGGAUAUGUUCGUCUCAGGAUCAUCUCAGUACUGCUUUUCCUGAAGCUUCACACAGACAAUUUGCAUUGAAGUCCUCCAUCUUUUACUUUAGAAAGAAAGCUUGGAUCCAUUAAAAAUAAUUUUGAAUUUGAAUUAAAAUUAAAAUUAAUUGGGAGAUCAGUGUUCUGAAUAAA
Molecule: long non-coding RNA, 1088 nt
Organism: Canis lupus familiaris (dog)
Lineage: Eukaryota; Metazoa; Chordata; Mammalia; Carnivora; Canidae
Exons: 3
Source: RefSeq, a predicted model, not a curated record